Pimephales promelas (fathead minnow) is the source of this 203-nucleotide non-coding RNA. Lineage: Eukaryota; Metazoa; Chordata; Actinopteri; Cypriniformes; Leuciscidae. The record is from RefSeq and is a predicted model, not a curated record.
AGAGAGAGAGAGAGAGAGAGAGAGAGAGAGAGAGAGAGAGAGAGAGAGAGAGAGAUGGUCUCUAGCUUUGCUGUUUGCCGCGUUGGCUAAGCGCGAUCAUCAGGUCGUUCUUCAGAGCAUCCUGCUUCGACCUAUCCGCCAGCGUCUGGACGCUCCUGAAACACACACACACACACGUUAGACAGGAACACACACAUUUACAC